CGAACCGGACAAACGUUAUUCGGAAUCACUGGGCUUACAGGGUGCGUAGGCGGUCUGGAGGGUGGGGUGUGAAAUCCCUCGGCUCAACCGAGGAAUUGCGCUCCAAACCGGCAGACUUGAGGGAGACAGAGGUGUGCGGAACUGAUGGUGGAGCGGUGAAAUGCGUUGAUAUCAUCAGGAACACCAGUGGCGAAAGCGGCACACUGGGUCUCUACUGACGCUGAGGCACGAAAGCCAGGGGAGCGAACGGGAUUAGAUACCCCGGUAGUCCUGGCCGUAAACGAUGAGCACUUGGUUGGAGGGUAGUUACUGCCUUCCGGCCGUAGCGAAAGCGUUAAGUGCUCCGCCUGGGGAGUAUGGUCGCAAGGCUG
This 371-nucleotide ribosomal RNA is filed under the name uncultured organism. RNAcentral describes it as "bacterial SSU rRNA". It matches the Rfam family "Bacterial small subunit ribosomal RNA", at positions 526 to 896 of the family's 1533-position model. The record is from RNAcentral.